Molecule: non-coding RNA, 397 nt
Organism: Punica granatum (pomegranate)
Lineage: Eukaryota; Viridiplantae; Streptophyta; Magnoliopsida; Myrtales; Lythraceae
Source: RefSeq, a predicted model, not a curated record
AUUUAGGGGUGCUUCUCCGGGUUUCCAUGAUGGACCGGUAACGGACUACUGCAGCACGGAUCAACUUUUUGUGAUGAGAUGAUGAUGCUGGUUUCCCGAAAAACCUCUGUAAAACAUGGACCGUGACCGAGUUGCCACGUGAAGAUAGUCCAAUGAAUGAUAACCCAUGAAGAUAACAAAUAAGAAGAUGCAGCGAUAUUAGCAAUCUUAUGCCAAUCAGUGAGAAGUGAUGGAUGUACCUUACAGCCACUUAAGUUCAAAUCAACUACAAGUCUGCAGUUCUCCACAAGAUGCUGUAUACCUAUAUCCGUAACCCUGCAGCUCCAAUCAUUUUGUCAAACUCACAACUAUCUCUAUGGUGGCUUGAGAUCUCAAAUUAAAGAACCAGUUUGUAUCA